This 486-nucleotide ribosomal RNA is filed under the name uncultured bacterium. Its description in RNAcentral is "partial 16S ribosomal RNA". It matches the Rfam family "Bacterial small subunit ribosomal RNA", at positions 29 to 507 of the family's 1533-position model. The record is from RNAcentral.
AUUGAACGCUGGCGGCAUGCCUUACACAUGCAAGUCGAACGGCAGCACGGGUGCUUGCACCUGGUGGCGAGUGGCGAACGGGUGAGUAAUACAUCGGAACAUGUCCUGUAGUGGGGGAAAGCCCGGCGAAAGCCGGAUUAAUACCGCAAACGAUCUACGGAUGAAAGCGGGGGACCUUCGGGCCUCCCGAUAUAGGGUUGGCCGAUGGCGUAUUAGCUAGUUGGGGGGGUAAAGGCCUACCAAGGCGACGAUCAGUGGCUGGUCUGAGAGGACGACCAGCCACACUGGGACUGAGACACGGCCCAGACUCCUACGGGAGGCAGCAGUGGGGAAUUUUGGACAAUGGGCGAAAGCCUGAUCCAGCAAUGCCGCGUGUGUGAAGAAGGCCUUCGGGUUGUAAAGCACUUUUGUCCGGAAAGAAAUCCUUGGCCCUAAUACGGUCGGGGGAUGACGGUACCGGAAGAAUAAGCACCGGCUAACUACGUG